This 475-nucleotide ribosomal RNA is filed under the name uncultured bacterium. RNAcentral describes it as "bacterial SSU rRNA". It matches the Rfam family "Bacterial small subunit ribosomal RNA", at positions 28 to 514 of the family's 1533-position model. The record is from RNAcentral.
GAUGAACGCUAGCGGCAGGCUUAAUACAUGCAAGUCAAGGGGGUAGCAAUACAGCCGGCGCACGGGUGAGUAACGCGUACACAACAUACCAUAUACUGGAGUAUAGCUUUGGGAAACUGAAGGUAAUCCUCCAUAACAUUGCGAGAGGGCAUCUGAUUGCAAUUAAAGUUUCGGCGGUAUAUGAUUGGUGUGCGUUUGAUUAGCUAGUUGGUAGGGUAACGGCCUACCAAGGCGACGAUCAAUAGCUGGCGUGAGAGCGCGACCAGCCACACUGGAACUGAGACACGGUCCAGACUCCUACGGGAGGCAGCAGUAGGGAAUAUUGGACAAUGGAGGAAACUCUGAUCCAGCCAUGCCGCGUGAUAGAUGAAGGCCCUCUGGGUUGUAAAUAUCUUUUAUCUGGGAAGAAACACUCCUAUUCUUAGGAACUUGACGGUACCAGAGGAAUAAGCACCGGCUAACUCCGUGCCAGCAG